This is a long non-coding RNA of Vidua macroura (Pin-tailed whydah), 1230 nucleotides long. RefSeq lists it as uncharacterized. The transcript has 3 exons. Lineage: Eukaryota; Metazoa; Chordata; Aves; Passeriformes; Viduidae. The record is from RefSeq and is a predicted model, not a curated record.
CAAGUACUUUUAAGGUGCUCUGCACAGAUCUGUUUAGAAAGGUUUUAAGAGAGUUCCAGUGUAGAUGCUGAUAAUUAAAAUGCUAAUUAAAAAUAUUCCCAAUGGUAUUCACUGACAGUGUUGCCAGAACAGGUGAGAUUUCAAUUCUCUUGCUAUUCCUUUUAGAACUAGAGGAGUGUUCUGCACUGAGUUGAGAUGAACUGAGCCAUGAAUAUUUCAAGGCAUUUACUUGCUGACUUUUCUCCAGAUUUCUUUAGUUUCACUUUUUCAUCUCCUCAAGACUGUUCUGAAAGGCCUUGAGGUAACAGCCACGAGUGCAAGGACGUGUCAGUGAGGGGCCCCAGACAGUGCCAUCUCCAAAGUCAGACCUUCAUGGACACCAAAGUAAAGAUUUCAAAUACUCAAUUCUUGCAGCCUAAAGUAGCACAAAACAGGUGAGUGUUCUCAGGAGAGCCCCCUGCUCUGCAGGUUUGAUUGGCAGGAAUUCAAAAUGCUUUGAGUGCUAUAACCUGAAAGUAGGAAAUAGCACAGGAAGUUGGGACUGUAACGAGAAGAAAGCUGAAGAUGGGAAAAUCAAAGGAGUGGAAUUUGGAUUAGAGGGAUCCUCAGAAAGCAGAAAAGGGGCUGCCACUUGUCUGAGUAAAAGUUGCACUCUAGUGAGGUGGGCAGCUGUUGGCUUUCACACAGGGAUGCCAGGACAAAGGUUUGAUGGCUUCUGUCCCUGGAGUGUGGGAUCUCUGGGACUGCAGGACAUGCAGGUUUCACAUAUUUUUCUUGACUAGAUCCUGUGUCAUGAGGGAUAUGGACGGGAACUCUCUUCAAAAUGGCAAGUUAAUGUAAACUUUAGAAAAAUCAAUUUUCUGUAGCCAAGAGGAAUGCUGCUUUCAGCCUUCCCUUGGAAGUGCCAGCUGAAGUAUUUCCAGAAUCAGCAGGUCUUACUGGAGCAGUGUGCAGGAGUGGUGGUGAAAGGAACCAUCUGACAGAGGAGGAAGGAGUGCAAAAGUGGAAGAAGGUGAACAUACACUAAACCAGAAUGUCUGAAGGUAACAAUGAAGAAUAUAAUUGCUGCCCAAACAUUGCUUUCCUUCACACCUUGUGAUAACCAUGGGCUGGGCUUAGUUGUAAAAACUGAUGUCUGUGACACUGCUUUUUGAAGUGAGAAUCCCCAGGAGCUGCCUAAAGACAUCCUGAGUGUUCCAGAAUAAUUUGCCUCUUCAGAGGAAGGGAAGG